UGCUGUGAGAGAGAGAGCGCACUCGAUUGACCGGACGGAAGCCGCAAUUAGCAAUUAGCAACAUUAUUAAUUUAUCAAAAAUCAACUAAGUGGCAAACGACGACUCAAACAAAACGCAACGCAACGCAGCGUUCAACGUUCAACAGCAUAUGUUUAAUGUAUGCAAAUAUGAGCAGACAGAGCAAUUAGAAUGGUCAGUAUAUGGAUAAUAACUACAGUUGUAACCUUCAGUAAUCCGAUUUGCGAUGCGCAGGAAAUAAAACUACA
Molecule: long non-coding RNA, 267 nt
Organism: Drosophila albomicans
Lineage: Eukaryota; Metazoa; Arthropoda; Insecta; Diptera; Drosophilidae
Exons: 2
Source: RefSeq, a predicted model, not a curated record